This 253-nucleotide ribosomal RNA is filed under the name uncultured bacterium. RNAcentral's name for it is "partial 16S ribosomal RNA". It matches the Rfam family "Bacterial small subunit ribosomal RNA", at positions 524 to 776 of the family's 1533-position model. The record is from RNAcentral.
UACGAAGGUGGCGAGCGUUGUUCGGAAUCACUGGGCAUAAAGGGCGCGUAGGCGGCGACUUAAGUCGGCGGUGAAAUACCUCGGCUCACCCGAGGACCCGCCGCCGAAACUGGGUUGCUAGAGCAUGGGAGGGGAAGGUGGAAUUCCGGGUGGAGCGGUGAAAUGCGUAGAUAUCCGGAGGAACACCCGUGGCGAAAGCGGCCUUCUGGUCCAUUGCUGACGCUGAGGCGCGAAAGCUAGGGGAGCAAACAGG